UACGUAGGGUGCAAGCGUUGUCCGGAAUUAUUGGGCGUAAAGAGCUCGUAGGCGGUUUGUUGCGUCGGCUGUGAAAUCCCGAGGCUCAACCUCGGGUCUGCAGUCGAUACGAGCAAACUAGAGUGUUGCAGGGGAGACUGGAAUUCCUGGUGUAGCGGUGAAAUGCGCAGAUAUCGGGAGGAACACCAGUGGCGAAGGCGGCGAUCUGGGUGGAUACUGACGCUGAGGUGCGAAAGCGUGGGGAGCAAACAGG
RNAcentral lists this ribosomal RNA (253 nucleotides) under uncultured bacterium. RNAcentral's name for it is "partial 16S ribosomal RNA". It matches the Rfam family "Bacterial small subunit ribosomal RNA", at positions 524 to 776 of the family's 1533-position model. The record is from RNAcentral.